This is a long non-coding RNA of Lagenorhynchus albirostris (white-beaked dolphin), 339 nucleotides long. RefSeq lists it as uncharacterized. The record is from RefSeq and is a predicted model, not a curated record. NCBI's taxonomy places the organism in Eukaryota, Metazoa, Chordata, Mammalia, Artiodactyla, Delphinidae. The transcript has 3 exons.
AAUAGGAUUUUAAGCUAAUGGUGUCCCAGAAUACCAAAGAUUUCUAAAUCAUUGUGAAGAACAGUCGGCUUCCAGCAGCAGUGACAUUCAAGGAUGGAAAGAGAGGGGCAUGAUUCCUUUGUGGAGAAAAGUUUGAAAACUGGACGCAGAAUCACUACUAACAUUUUGGGGCCCAGCAGACAGUUUGAAUGGAAGUCAUGGUGGCAGAUGAAUGGAAGUCAUGGUGGCAGACAUCCUUAUGGUCUUACUGAUCACAGUGGAAUGGUUUCAAAAUUUCAAUAGGAGUGUUCGGAGAUUGGGCAACCACCAGUCAGGCCAUCGUGGAAGAGCUUAUUGCAG